Coffea arabica (coffee) is the source of this 484-nucleotide long non-coding RNA. RefSeq lists it as uncharacterized. The record is from RefSeq and is a predicted model, not a curated record. NCBI's taxonomy places the organism in Eukaryota, Viridiplantae, Streptophyta, Magnoliopsida, Gentianales, Rubiaceae.
GUGCUACUUGUGAUAACAGUCAUUCAGUGAAUCAAAUUUUGGAUCAUCCCCAGUUAUUCACUCAGAUAUACAAUCUUGUAGGAUGCCCGGUGAAACUGGAAUCACUUCUCAAAUACUGAGUGCUCAUAAUAUCUGUAUUCAAGAUCGUAACAAUCUCCCACUUUUGCUUCCCAACGAUCCUGUGAGCAAGACAAAGUACACAAGUUUCACCGAAUUCUUAAUGACCCCCAUUGUGACCUCUGUGGAAAGGUUAAAGAGCAGGACUCUCAUGCAAUUAAGCGAUGAAGAAGUGCAACUACCUACGAUAUAAAUGGGUAGAAGCUAAUUGCCUUCCAUGAAUAUGUAUGCUAAGCUGAUGUAUCUUAUGACCCUUUUGGAACUGGAUUGGAACAAUGUAAUACUAAAAUGAUUGUUUUACUUUUAUAUUAGAUAGUAGUUUGAGAAUUGCAAUCAAUGCAGAAUAGUUUUACACCUUUUACUUCUA